RNAcentral lists this long non-coding RNA (1400 nucleotides) under Heterocephalus glaber (naked mole-rat). RNAcentral describes it as "lncRNA (ENSHGLG00000030921.2)". The record is from RNAcentral. Lineage: Eukaryota; Metazoa; Chordata; Mammalia; Rodentia; Bathyergidae.
CGCUGCUUUUCCUGUGCCCAGUUCCCUCACUCUUACUGGACUUGAACGAAUGAGAACAUCAUCGAGCACCAAAUAAUAAUGAUUUAAAAAUCAUGGGAACAAACAGUGAUAAAAAUGAUACUAUUUGUGGAGGAUCUGUGGGUCUGUUUUUUUUACAAGGAGUAUUUCAUUUGAUUCUCAUCUGAUUUUGUAAGGAAAUUACAAUUACUGUGUUUCUAGCCGGGCAAUGAUCUGCAGGACGUGAGAACUUGUUAGAAAUGCUAAUUCUCAGCCCAUCCAGCCUCCACUGACUUAUAUAUGCUGGGAGGCAAAGUCAAGCCCUUGGUGUUUAACAAGCCCUCCUUGGGGGGGCUGACGCAUGUUCAAGUUUGAGAACCACUGUUUUCAGUACUGCUUUGUAUCCCCGAGUGUGAACUUGAGCGGUUCCCCGUGGCAACUGCUCAAUAACAUACCUUUCUGGGGCCUCCUUCCUUUCCUUGUUUCACAUCUUUACUCUUCAGCUGGGCCUUCCUGGGAUCACCUCCAAACAACUACUUGCAUUUGAAUCCUUGCCUCAAGUCUGCUUCCAGAGAACACCAUCUGAGAGAUCUGCAGGGGAAGUGUGGUUGCCCAGAGAGGAGGAGGAAAGUGGCUGCUGCCAUUCAGGAGUGGUGGCCGUGUUAACAGAUGAGGGGAGAGAGGAUGCAGUGGGUGACACUAAUGAAAUCUUAGCCUCAGUCUUUGGCUCAGCUGCUGAAUUUGGAAAAAUUCAAACAUUUAUAAAAGAAAACAGAAUGGUAUUGUGGACUCCACAGACUUGUCACCCAGCUUCAACAAUGAUCAGCUCAGCGUCAAUCUUGGGUGUCUACUUUUCCCAACCUCCAUCCCUGUCAAUGGAGACACCAUACCAUUGCCUCUGUAAAUAUACUGGUAUGUAUCACAUCAUUAAAAGAUAAGCACUCCUUUAUAAAAUAUAAUCACAAAAAUAUCAUAAAUAUAUGUGUCCAAACCUGAAGGAAGUGCAAAACCCAGAGUGAACCAUGGACUUUGAGUGAUAAUGAAAUUUCCAUGUGGCUUCAUCAGUUGUGACAAAUGUACCACUCUGAUGGGGGUUGUUGGUGAUGGGGGACAGUGUGUAGGGGGGAAGGAGAUACACAGUCAAUCUAUGUUCAAUUUUGCUAUAAUCCUAAAACUAUUCUAAAAAGUCUUUACAAAUAGGACAUAACCACAAUACUGUUAUUAAACUCAACAAUAGUUCCUUGGUACUAUUUGUUUACUGUUGUCUCUCACCCCGAGAGUGCUUUCUGAAUCAUUUGGGUCUGUAUCUUGGUGCCCAGCCCAGCACCAGAGACCUGCUGGGUCCUCGGGAACUUUGUGCUGCCUGGACAGCCCUUUGGAUGAACAAGUUGCUGACAGCCCAC